This 70-nucleotide transfer RNA is filed under the name Garrulus glandarius (Eurasian jay). Its description in RNAcentral is "tRNA-Thr". It matches the Rfam family "tRNA". From Rfam's summary of the family: Transfer RNA (tRNA) molecules are approximately 80 nucleotides in length. Lineage: Eukaryota; Metazoa; Chordata; Aves; Passeriformes; Corvidae. The record is from RNAcentral.
ACUCUAAUAGUUUAGAUAAAACAUUGGUCUUGUAAACCAAAGAUUGAAGGCUAAACACCUUCUUAGAGUU